UACGUAGGGCGCAAGCGUUGUCCGGAAUUAUUGGGCGUAAAGAGUUCGUAGGCGGCUUGUCACGUCUGGUGUGAAAGCUCGGGGCUUAACCCCGGGUCUGCAUUCGAUACGGGCAGGUUAGAGUGUGGUAGGGGAGAUCGGAAUUCCUGGUGUAGCGGUGAAAUGCGCAGAUAUCAGGAGGAACACCGGUGGCGAAGGCGGAUCUCUGGGCCAUUACUGACGCUGAGGAGCGAAAGCGUGGGGAGCGAACAGG
This 253-nucleotide ribosomal RNA is filed under the name uncultured bacterium. Its description in RNAcentral is "partial 16S ribosomal RNA". It matches the Rfam family "Bacterial small subunit ribosomal RNA", at positions 524 to 776 of the family's 1533-position model. The record is from RNAcentral.